GGUUCCAUAGUGUAGCAGUUAGCACGUCUGCUUUACACACAGAAAGUCUUGGGUUCAUGCCCCAGUGGAGUCA
RNAcentral lists this transfer RNA (73 nucleotides) under Pteropus alecto (black flying fox). It matches the Rfam family "tRNA". Rfam says of the family: Transfer RNA (tRNA) molecules are approximately 80 nucleotides in length. Their secondary structure includes four short double-helical elements and three loops (D, anti-codon, and T loops). Further hydrogen bonds mediate the characteristic L-shaped molecular structure. tRNAs have two regions of fundamental functional importance: the anti-codon, which is responsible for specific mRNA codon recognition, and the 3' end, to which the tRNAs corresponding amino acid is attached (by aminoacyl-tRNA synthetases). tRNAs cope with the degeneracy of the genetic code in two manners: having more than one tRNA (with a specific anti-codon) for a particular amino acid; and 'wobble' base-pairing, i.e. permitting non-standard base-pairing at the 3rd anti-codon position. Lineage: Eukaryota; Metazoa; Chordata; Mammalia; Chiroptera; Pteropodidae. The record is from Rfam by way of RNAcentral.